Molecule: long non-coding RNA, 560 nt
Organism: Octodon degus (degu)
Lineage: Eukaryota; Metazoa; Chordata; Mammalia; Rodentia; Octodontidae
Exons: 2
Source: RefSeq, a predicted model, not a curated record
UAAAUCAACACAGAAACUGCCAACAGAGAAACUGCCAGAUACUUUGGACCAGACUGUCCCAAGUGUGGGCUGCCUGGGGACAUAAGACACAGCGCCAAGGGUCCCCAAGGGUCCUGCUGAAGAGGCCCCUUUCCUCUGAGAACUGCUGCGUGGAUGGGUUAGAAAUCUGCCUACACUUCAUGGGGACAGGAUGGCCAGCAGUACCCCAGGCCCCCCACCCGGAAGCCAACCUAGAAUGAACAUCAAGAUUUGGCUCAGCAGUGGGGAAACAAUCGGAGCAUUCCACUCAGAGCAGAUGCGCACACCCCUGCUGGCCACACUCGGCUCUGGUCACGAUCAUCAUGCUACAACUUCCUGCUGUGACAAGAUGACCAGCAACAACCGGCAUCGCUAUUGGCAAGGGCAGCAAAGCCCCCUUAUGUGCAAAUGUUACAGUGAGCAAGCCUGAAAAUGGGAGCGAACCCGCUCAGCCCACCAUGGAUUUCUGAACUAAUAUUUAAUAAGGUAGAAGGGAAGAGAUGAAAGCCCUGUCUGCUCUUCCAGAAAAAUAACCAUUUUAA